AAUAUUAGUAAUGGGCGAAAGCCUGAACUAGCAACGCCGCGUGUGCGAAGAAGGCCUUCGGGUUGUAAAGCACUUUUUGAGAGGAUGAGGAAGGUCGGUACUCUCAGAAUAAGUCUCGGCUAACUACGUGCCAGCAGCCGCGGUAACACGUAGGAGGCGAACGUUAUCCGGAUUUACUGGGCGUAAAGCGCGUGUAGGUGAUUUGGUAAGUAGGGAGUAAAAGCUCCUGGCUCAACUGGGAGAGGCCGUACUAAACUGCCGAACUAGAGGAUG
This 273-nucleotide ribosomal RNA is filed under the name uncultured bacterium. RNAcentral describes it as "partial 16S ribosomal RNA". It matches the Rfam family "Bacterial small subunit ribosomal RNA", at positions 359 to 650 of the family's 1533-position model. The record is from RNAcentral.